This is a long non-coding RNA of Sorghum bicolor (sorghum), 1902 nucleotides long. RefSeq lists it as uncharacterized. The transcript has 4 exons. The record is from RefSeq and is a predicted model, not a curated record. Lineage: Eukaryota; Viridiplantae; Streptophyta; Magnoliopsida; Poales; Poaceae.
CAUCCAUCCGGGCGCGGAGCGGAGGGGAAGGGGAAGCAGAGUGGCGAGGCGGCGGAGAGGCCGCCGCCGCCGCAGCUGGUCGCCCGAACUGCACUGCACCCUCCACCCACGCCCGUCUCAUCGGCGUACUGGCAGCGAAGAUGCUGGGGUUAUCCUGGAUCUGAAAAAUAAAAUCGACAGUUCGACAGUCUUCUGCUCAUUUUCAACCAAGAGAAGAUGUGGUGCCAUAUGGAUUUGGUUGUCAUUCAAUUGGAACUUUCAUGUGCGUUCAUGAUCCUUUGCUGUUUUUUUUCCUGGAGCUGCAGCAGAGCAGCUUUUGUUGAAUUUCCGGAGCUGAAACAGACAUCUCUGUCUUGAAUUAUUGGCUAAUAGGGACUGCAUGAAAAUGACUCUUCUAUAUGUGCCUUGUGCCAUUGCACUUCUCUUUCUCUUUGCACUGUCCACCUCCUUUUUUUUUUUUUCUUAGGUUUACAUCUACCACUUUUUGCUCUGUCGGCCAAUACCGCUGACUGGAACGACAAGCACACACACUUGGGUCGUGUCCUCAGUCAUGCUGGUCAAUCUUUUCAUGGGUCUCCACAUAGUUCUCUUUUGUUUUUCCAGGUUUUUUUGGAGGUUAAUUACCUGUAUGAUGGAGGGUGCAGUGGCCAGUACUCGACCCAGUCUUCCAGAGGGUUGGCGUAGUGCUUCAGGAACGACCUGGCCUUGCUGAUCCCGUCCCUUGAGCUCGUGUCAUACCUGACAGGCCUUCCGAUGUCGGUUGAUGCAAACAGCUCCUUGUGCUCUGGCGAGAGCUGGAAAAACUCGGAGGCGGCCUCGAACGCCCCUGCCAUGGCAGACUUGCUGACCCCGUGGUUCACCACCUGCCAAUCGUCAGCACAGCUGUAUCGAUCAGCAUUGCUGCAUGUGCUGAUCACUGUGCAGAGACCAGCGAACCAAGUGUUGGGAUGGUACAGACAGAGCAACAGACAAGCAGCACACAGCAGCAAGCACUGACCUGGAAGCACCCUUGCUCACGGCACGCCCGCGCAAUGUCCUGGAUGGCGAGCGUCCGCGUGGCCGGGUCCUUGCCGAGUCUGGCAAGGUUGAUGACCGGCAGCGGCCGCGGUGAGGACGAGGAGGAUGGCAGCAUCCGCUGCACCUGGCUCGCCAUGGAAGCUGGUAAGAAGCAGGCCGGCAUGCCUCGUCGUCAACCUCCAAGCCACCAAUUCAGGCGAGCAAUGCGUGUGAUCUUCCCUAGUCAGUUCAGCUGCUCUCUCCGAGGUCGAGGUGACUGAGAUGAAGAAGCUUGGUACAGUGGAGUGCAUGCCAGGCGACGGACGUAUUUAUAGGCCCUGCCGACUUGCUGAAUCUGCAGCGAAAAGCAGGUACCAGACGAUGGGGACUGCCAGUGGCCAGCGUGGAAAGAAACCCCCUCCGUUUUUUCAGCAAGCUGACCCUGGGCAAAUGCCUUGUACGUAGACUUUUGAGUGCCAGGAUGAUGAAGUGAUGAUACAAGGAAAAGGUCUAGGAAGGGGAAGAUUUCGGUCCAGGAGCAGGCCACGGAGGCCGCGGAGGGGCCCCGGCCGUGCGCGCGUGCGUCCAGAUGAAACAAGAUCUUCCCCCCCAAGCAAGGAGGCACAUCGCUCCGGUUCCUUUCGCUUGGCAGUGGUCACCAGCUGUGGUGGUGGCCAUUUUUCUGUUAUUCUCGCGCCAAGUUGCGCCGGGCACAUACACCGCCCCUCUUACGGUUGACGCGGACUGGACGCGCCCGCACCUCGGCUCCCAGAUAAUGCUUGUUUUUUGGCAGCGACGACGCCGAAUCCACGGCGACCGCCGGGCGCGGUGUGGGACUGGGAGCGGGAGGUUUCCGGUUUCGGCAGCCGGAAGCUGACAAAGCAGCUCUUUUGGGGGGGGGGGGGG